GACGAACGCUGGCGGCGUGCUUAACACAUGCAAGUCGAACGGAAAUGCCCUGCUUUUGUGGGGUGCGCGAGUGGCGAACGGGUGAGUAACACGUGAGUAACCUGCCCUUGACGUUGGGAUAACUGCAGGAAACUGGGGUUAAGACUGGAUAGGAGCUCCUGCUUCAUGGUGGGGGUUGGAAAGUUUCGGCGGAUGGGGAUGGACUCGCGGCUUAUCAGCUUGUUGGUGGGGUAGUGGCUUACCAAGGCUUUGACGGGUAGCGGGCCUGAGAGGGUGACCGGCCACGUUGGGACUGAGAUACGGCACAGACUCCUACGGGAGGCAGGAGUGGGGAAUAUUGCACAAUGGGAGGAAGCAUGAUGCAGCAACGCCGCGUGCGGGAUGACGGCCUUCGGGUUGUAAACCGAUUUCGCAUGUGACGAAGAGUGAGUGACGGUAAUGGGUAAAGAAGCACCGGCUAACUACGUG
RNAcentral lists this ribosomal RNA (468 nucleotides) under uncultured bacterium. RNAcentral describes it as "partial 16S ribosomal RNA". It matches the Rfam family "Bacterial small subunit ribosomal RNA", at positions 28 to 507 of the family's 1533-position model. The record is from RNAcentral.